RNAcentral lists this ribosomal RNA (72 nucleotides) under Bacillus sp. UMB0728. RNAcentral describes it as "partial 16S ribosomal RNA". It matches the Rfam family "Bacterial small subunit ribosomal RNA", at positions 1 to 70 of the family's 1533-position model. The record is from RNAcentral. Lineage: Bacteria; Bacillati; Bacillota; Bacilli; Caryophanales; Bacillaceae.
CUUAUAUGGAGAGUUUGAUCCUGGCUCAGGACGAACGCUGGCGGCGUGCCUAAUACAUGCAAGUCGAGCGGA